GAUGAACGCUGGCGGCGUGCCUAACACAUGCAAGUCGAACGGAACUUUUACGGAUUGAGACUUCGGUUGAUUGAAGUUUAAGUUUAGUGGCGGACGGGUGAGUAACGCGUGAGUAACCUGCCUUUCACAGGGGGAUAACGUUUGGAAACGAACGCUAAUACCGCAUAACGUAGCGGGGUCGCAUGGCUCUGCUACCAAAGAUUUUAUCGGUGAGAGAUGGACUCGCGUCCGAUUAGGUAGUUGGUGAGGUAACGGCCCACCAAGCCGACGAUCGGUAGCCGGACUGAGAGGUUGAACGGCCACAUUGGGACUGAGACACGGCCCAGACUCCUACGGGAGGCAGCAGUGGGGAAUAGUUGCACAAUGGGCGCAAGCCUGAUGCAGCAACGCCGCGUGAGGGAAGACGGUUUUCGGAUCGUAAAGCCCUGCUUUGGGACGAUAAUGACGG
This 448-nucleotide ribosomal RNA is filed under the name uncultured bacterium. RNAcentral's name for it is "bacterial SSU rRNA". It matches the Rfam family "Bacterial small subunit ribosomal RNA", at positions 28 to 455 of the family's 1533-position model. The record is from RNAcentral.